CCUUGAAAUACCACCCUGGUUUGUUUGAGGUUCUAACCUUGGCCCGUGAUCCGGGUCGGGGACAGUGCAUGGUAGGCAGUUUGACUGGGGCGGUCUCCUCCCAAAGCGUAACGGAGGAGUACGAAGGUACGCUAGGUACGGUCGGAAAUCGUGCUGAUAGUGCAAUGGCAUAAGCGUGCUUAACUGCGAGACCGACAAGUCGAGCAGGUGCGAAAGCAGGUCAUAGUGAUCCGGUGGUUCUGUAUGGAAGGGCCAUCGCUCAACGGAUAAAAGGUACUCUGGGGAUAACAGGCUGAUACCGCCCAAGAGUUCAUAUCGACGGCGGUGUUUGGCACCUCGAUGUCGGCUCAUCUCAUCCUGGGGCUGUAGCCGGUCCCAAGGGUAUGGCUGUUCGCCAUUUAAAGAGGUACGUGAGCUGGGUUUAAAACGUCGUGAGACAGUUUGGUCCCUAUCUGCCGUGGGCGUUGGAUAUUUGAAGGGGGCUGCUCCUAGUACGAGAGGACCGGAGUGGACGAACCUCUGGUGUACCGGUUGUGACGCCAGUCGCAUCGCCGGGUAGCUAUGUUCGGAAGAGAUAACCGCUGAAAGCAUCUAAGCGGGAAACUCGCCUUAAGAUGAGAUAUCCCUGGGGACUUGAUCCCCUUGAAGGGUCGUUCGAGACCAGGACGUUGAUAGGUCAGGUGUGUAAGCGCAGUAAUGCGUUCAGCUAACUGAUACUAAUUGCCCGUAAGGCUUGAUCCUAUAACA
RNAcentral lists this ribosomal RNA (747 nucleotides) under Burkholderia ubonensis. Its description in RNAcentral is "bacterial LSU rRNA". It matches the Rfam family "Bacterial large subunit ribosomal RNA", at positions 2190 to 2925 of the family's 2925-position model. The record is from RNAcentral. Lineage: Bacteria; Pseudomonadati; Pseudomonadota; Betaproteobacteria; Burkholderiales; Burkholderiaceae.